Long non-coding RNA from Drosophila innubila, 966 nucleotides. RefSeq lists it as uncharacterized. The transcript has 2 exons. NCBI's taxonomy places the organism in Eukaryota, Metazoa, Arthropoda, Insecta, Diptera, Drosophilidae. The record is from RefSeq and is a predicted model, not a curated record.
UGUAAUUUCAACUCCUAAUUAAGGGGUAAUUGUUUGAAUGGAUGUAUUGCAUUUAAAAAAAAGCCUUUCUGAUCCGAUUGUUUUACUAUAGACAAUGAAUACAAUGAAAGGAAUGCACCCAAUAUUAAGGGGGGUAUUGAUGUAAAACAGAAGUUUUUAUUAUCAGUUUAACUACAAAAAACUGUAAGUAAAUUCAACUAAUCUUCGAUUGAUCCGAUCGUUAUGUAAAAAUUUGAUAUUUAUACCGUCUGCAAGGAUAUCACCUAAGAUACACUGAAAAUGUUUAUUUGUAGGACGAAGCGACAAUGGUAUGAUGAAGAAGCGUUCAAGCGUAAAUAUUAAGGCUUUGAAAACCGUCCACACACACACAGUAACACACACACACAGUAACACACACACAGUAACACACAAUGCCAGAGACAAGGAAGCGCAGUACUUAAAUGCUCACACACAAGGAUACAUCAUAUAAAGUAAUAGUGUAUAGUCGAAUGAGCAUUGACAAGACCAUCGUGCUCUCCAACUACACACACACACACACACACACACACACAUGCGUACAUUUUGGCAUAUUUGUAUAAACUUUUUUGAGAAUGCCAAAAACGAAAAAUAAAAAUGAAACUACAGAAAUGUGUUUUGGCCAACAGACAGGCUAAAAAAGAGCAGAUAUAUCAUUGAGAGAGAGAGUGAGAGAGAGAUAGGACAGCAGAAUGAGAGUGAGACAGCACUAUGGUAGGGGAACAGCAGGUAAAAGAGCGAGCGAGAGAAGGCGAGGCGUUUGUCUGGACCACCGAUUGGUCAGGCCAGACUAAAAAGUGAUAUAAAUCAUACAUAUAAAAAUAAAAUAACUUGCCAAAAUAAUUAAGUUUAAACAUAAUACAUAAUAACAACAAGAACACCAAAAAAAAAAAUGAUAAGAAAGCAACAACUGUGCAUUCUUAAUAACUAAGGAUGCGAUUAGUCUAUGCC